GACAGCGGCUUUGUCACGUUGAAUACACCAGUUCUCGUUGGAUCACUGAAGUUAAGCAACGUCGAGCGGGUAAUUAGGUGAAAGGGAUAUCGAGGUAGUCACUAAAAAUAGUUACUAUUGGUU
Molecule: ribosomal RNA, 123 nt
Filed under: Diaphorina citri (Asian citrus psyllid)
Lineage: Eukaryota; Metazoa; Arthropoda; Insecta; Hemiptera; Psyllidae
Source: RNAcentral